GCCAAGAAGCAAACAGGGAUGUAUGCCUUGCCUGGAAAGGGAAAAGACUCUUUUCUGUCCUUUCUGGUUAUACUCCUGGAACCCUACGUGUGACACAGUUGGCUGCAGCAGCUCAUCCAGGGCGAAUUCACACACGUUUCAGAGAUCAUCAAGCUUCAGAUAAUCAUGCGACAAGGCUUCCAGCCAGCUCCAGGUGAAGGCACCGUCCCCCGCCAUCAAGAAGCACCCUGUCUCCACGCGACAGAGUGGAGUGAGAGUUCUGGAAUCUCCAACAGUGGCAGGACUUGGCAAUCUAAAGUGCAGCAGGAGCAAAAAUUCAAGACACUGUACAGGCAAUACGAGAUUGUGUGGUUCAGAAUACAAGCUCAUCUCAUAACCUUACUUUUUUCAGGUAAACUUAAGCAGAUUCUAGAAUGCUUAAAUACAUAUUGCUGUUACCUGAAAUCAAUUUGUUAGAAGUCUCCUUUAUAGUCUCUUUCAUUCAUUUUAUAAACCAUGCAAGCACGAAUUCAAGGCAAUAUUUACCUUUUGUCUUACGCAAAGAGUUUAAAAAGUUUCUUAAGGAUAACUUCCAUUUAUGAACUUUAGGAUUAUUGGUAAAGUAGUCAUCUGUGUACUUAUAAUUACACCUAUGUACUUAUAAUUAAUUUGCUUUAUAAAAAAUAUAUAGAAUGAAGUUAAUUUAGAAGGGUGCUUUUUCUCUAGGCUCAUAUUUUCUAAAGUACAACACUUUCACUUCUGCCUUAGUUGUUGGAAGAGAGAUAUCCUUCUGAAUCUAUCUAUGUAUGAUGCUGUCAAUGGAUAUUUUAUCUCAGAUCUCAAAAGUACCUCUUUGUAUAACAUUAAGAAAGCGAUUUUAAAAUUUAUCCUCAGUGUAUGGUUGAAAAUAAAUGUAACCAUUCAUUUUAUCGCUUUUUAAGUCAUCUUUAAAACUUUUGUUUACAAAACUAUCUAACUAAAUUUGUGUAAAAUAUAUUAUUUUCCCUUUUUAAAAACAAUUCUGUCAGCUGAUCAGUAUUACAUGUUACAAAUUAAUAUUAACUGAGGUGAUAUUGGGCUAAUGUGUUGUGGCAGAGAGUAUAAUGCUCAACAAAUACAUUUCUUUUCCUACACUUCCCAGCCCCCUUGCACUUUUUUCUUUGAGACAGGGUCUCACUCUGUUGCCCAAGCUGGAGUGUAGUGGUG
Long non-coding RNA from Chlorocebus sabaeus (green monkey), 1185 nucleotides. RefSeq lists it as uncharacterized. The record is from RefSeq and is a predicted model, not a curated record. Lineage: Eukaryota; Metazoa; Chordata; Mammalia; Primates; Cercopithecidae.